RNAcentral lists this ribosomal RNA (1462 nucleotides) under Bacillus safensis. RNAcentral describes it as "bacterial SSU rRNA". It matches the Rfam family "Bacterial small subunit ribosomal RNA". The record is from RNAcentral. Lineage: Bacteria; Bacillati; Bacillota; Bacilli; Caryophanales; Bacillaceae.
CGUGCGAGCGUGCCUAAUACAUGCAAGUCGAGCGAGACAGAAGGGAGCUUGCUCCCGGAUGUUAGCGGCGGCACGGGUGAGUAACACGUGGGUAACCUGCCUGUAAGACUGGGAUAACUCCGGGAAACCGGAGCUAAUACCGGAUAGUUCCUUGAACCGCAUGGUUCAAGGAUGAAAGACGGUUUCGGCUGUCACUUACAGAUGGACCCGCGGCGCAUUAGCUAGUUGGUGGGGUAAUGGCUCACCAAGGCGACGAUGCGUAGCCGACCUGAGAGGGUGAUCGGCCACACUGGGACUGAGACACGGCCCAGACUCCUACGGGAGGCAGCAGUAGGGAAUCUUCCGCAAUGGACGAAAGUCUGACGGAGCAACGCCGCGUGAGUGAUGAAGGUUUUCGGAUCGUAAAGCUCUGUUGUUAGGGAAGAACAAGUGCGAGAGUAACUGCUCGCACCUUGACGGUACCUAACCAGAAAGCCACGGCUAACUACGUGCCAGCAGCCGCGGUAAUACGUAGGUGGCAAGCGUUGUCCGGAAUUAUUGGGCGUAAAGGGCUCGCAGGCGGUUUCUUAAGUCUGAUGUGAAAGCCCCCGGCUCAACCGGGGAGGGUCAUUGGAAACUGGGAAACUUGAGUGCAGAAGAGGAGAGUGGAAUUCCACGUGUAGCGGUGAAAUGCGUAGAGAUGUGGAGGAACACCAGUGGCGAAGGCGACUCUCUGGUCUGUAACUGACGCUGAGGAGCGAAAGCGUGGGGAGCGAACAGGAUUAGAUACCCUGGUAGUCCACGCCGUAAACGAUGAGUGCUAAGUGUUAGGGGGUUUCCGCCCCUUAGUGCUGCAGCUAACGCAUUAAGCACUCCGCCUGGGGAGUACGGUCGCAAGACUGAAACUCAAAGGAAUUGACGGGGGCCCGCACAAGCGGUGGAGCAUGUGGUUUAAUUCGAAGCAACGCGAAGAACCUUACCAGGUCUUGACAUCCUCUGACAACCCUAGAGAUAGGGCUUUCCCUUCGGGGACAGAGUGACAGGUGGUGCAUGGUUGUCGUCAGCUCGUGUCGUGAGAUGUUGGGUUAAGUCCCGCAACGAGCGCAACCCUUGAUCUUAGUUGCCAGCAUUCAGUUGGGCACUCUAAGGUGACUGCCGGUGACAAACCGGAGGAAGGUGGGGAUGACGUCAAAUCAUCAUGCCCCUUAUGACCUGGGCUACACACGUGCUACAAUGGACAGAACAAAGGGCUGCAAGACCGCAAGGUUUAGCCAAUCCCAUAAAUCUGUUCUCAGUUCGGAUCGCAGUCUGCAACUCGACUGCGUGAAGCUGGAAUCGCUAGUAAUCGCGGAUCAGCAUGCCGCGGUGAAUACGUUCCCGGGCCUUGUACACACCGCCCGUCACACCACGAGAGUUUGCAACACCCGAAGUCGGUGAGGUAACCUUUAUGGAGCCAGCCGCCGAAGGUGGGGCAGAUGAACUU